GAUGAACGCUGGCGGCGUGCCUAAUACAUGCAAGUCGAGCGAACAGACGAGGAGCUUGCUCCUCUGACGUUAGCGGCGGACGGGUGAGUAACACGUGGAUAACCUACCUAUAAGACUGGGAUAACUUCGGGAAACCGGAGCUAAUACCGGAUAAUAUAUUGAACCGCAUGGUUCAAUAGUGAAAGACGGUUUUGCUGUCACUUAUAGAUGGAUCCGCGCCGCAUUAGCUAGUUGGUAAGGUAACGGCUUACCAAGGCAACGAUGCGUAGCCGACCUGAGAGCGUGAUCGGCCACACUGGAACUGGGACACGGUCCAGACUCCUACGGGAGGCAGCAGUAGGGAAUCUUCCGCAAUGGGCGAAAGCCUGACGGAGCAACGCCGCGUGAGUGAUGAAGGUCUUCGGAUCGUAAAUCUCUGUUAUUAGGGAAGAACAAAUGUGUAAGUAACUAUGCACGUCUUGACGGUACCUAAUCAGAAAGCCACGGCUAACUACGUG
This 497-nucleotide ribosomal RNA is filed under the name uncultured bacterium. RNAcentral's name for it is "partial 16S ribosomal RNA". It matches the Rfam family "Bacterial small subunit ribosomal RNA", at positions 28 to 507 of the family's 1533-position model. The record is from RNAcentral.